RNAcentral lists this ribosomal RNA (253 nucleotides) under uncultured bacterium. RNAcentral's name for it is "partial 16S ribosomal RNA". It matches the Rfam family "Bacterial small subunit ribosomal RNA", at positions 524 to 776 of the family's 1533-position model. The record is from RNAcentral.
AACGUAGGACGCAAGCGUUAUCCGGAGUUACUGGGCGUAAAGCGCGGGCAGGCGGCUGGACAAGUCUGAUGUGAAAUCUCCUCGCUCAACGGGGAGGGGCCAUGGGAAACUGUCUAGCUGGAGGGCAGUAGAGGUAGGCGGAAUUCCGGGUGGAGUGGUGAAAUGCGUAGAGAUCCGGAGGAACACCAGAGGCGAAGGCGGCCUACUGGGCUGCACCUGACGCUGAGCCGCGAAAGCCAGGGGAGCGAACGGG